GACGAACGCUGGCGGCGUGCUUAACACAUGCAAGUCGAACGGAAAGGUCCUGCUUUUGUGGGGUGCUCGAGUGGCGAACGGGUGAGUAACACGUGAGUAACCUGUCCUUGACUUUGGGUUAACUUCAGGCAACUGGGGCUAAUACCGGCUAGGAGUUCCUGCUGCAUGGUGGGGGUUGGAAAGUUUCGGUGGUUGGGGAUGGACUGGCGGCGCAUCAGCUUGUUGGUUUGGUAGUGGCUUACCAAGGCCUUGAACGGUAGCCGGCCUGAGCGGGGGACCGGCCACAUUGGGACUGAGAUGCGACCCAGACUCGUACGGGAGGCAGCAGUGGGGAAUAGUGUACAAUGGGCGGAGGCCUAAUGCAGCAACGCCGCGUGGGGGAUGACGGCCAUCGGGUAGUAUACCGCAUUCGCCUUAGACGAAGCGUGAGUGACGGUAAUGGGUAAAGAAGCACCGGCUAACUACGUG
RNAcentral lists this ribosomal RNA (468 nucleotides) under uncultured bacterium. RNAcentral's name for it is "partial 16S ribosomal RNA". It matches the Rfam family "Bacterial small subunit ribosomal RNA", at positions 28 to 507 of the family's 1533-position model. The record is from RNAcentral.